RNAcentral lists this ribosomal RNA (589 nucleotides) under Chloridium humicola. Its description in RNAcentral is "eukaryotic LSU rRNA". It matches the Rfam family "Eukaryotic large subunit ribosomal RNA", at positions 38 to 652 of the family's 3401-position model. The record is from RNAcentral. Lineage: Eukaryota; Fungi; Ascomycota; Sordariomycetes; Chaetosphaeriales; Chaetosphaeriaceae.
GCAUAUCAAUAAGCGGAGGAAAAGAAACCAACAGGGAUUGCCUCAGUAACGGCGAGUGAAGCGGCAACAGCUCAAAUUUGAAAUCUGGCCCCCCGGCCCGAGUUGUAAUUUGCAGAGGAUGCUUCGGGCGCGGUGCCUUCCAAGUCCCCUGGAACGGGGCGCCGGAGAGGGUGAGAGCCCCGUACGGUUGGCGGCCAAGCCUGUGUGAAGCUCCUUCGACGAGUCGAGUAGUUUGGGAAUGCUGCUCUAAGCGGGAGGUAGACCCCUUCUAAAGCUAAAUAUAGGCCAGAGACCGAUAGCGCACAAGUAGAGUGAUCGAAAGAUGAAAAGCACUUUGAAAAGAGGGUUAAACAGCACGUGAAAUUGUUGAAAGGGAAGCGCUUGCGACCAGACGUGCGCCGGGGUGCUCAGCGGGCGUUCUCGCCCGUGCACUCGCCCCGGUGCAGGCCAGCGUCGGUUCGCGUGGGAGGAUAAAGGCGCCUGGAAUGUGGCUCCCCCGGGAGUGUUAUAGCCAGGCGUGCCAUGCUCCCCUGCGGACCGAGGUACGCGUUCUGCAAGGACGCUGGCGUAAUGGUCCCCAGCGACCCGU